RNAcentral lists this ribosomal RNA (494 nucleotides) under uncultured bacterium. Its description in RNAcentral is "partial 16S ribosomal RNA". It matches the Rfam family "Bacterial small subunit ribosomal RNA", at positions 28 to 507 of the family's 1533-position model. The record is from RNAcentral.
GACGAACGCUGGCGGCGUGCUUAACACAUGCAAGUCGAACGGUGAAGCGCCUUCCUUUUUGGUGGGUGUGGAUGAGUGGCGAACGGGUGAGUAACACGUGAGUAACCUGCCCCCUUCUUCUGGAUAACCGCAUGAAAGUGUGGCUAAUACGGGAUAUUCUGGGUCUGUCGCAUGAUGGGUCUGGGAAAGAUAUUGUUUCGGUGGGGGAUGGUCUCGCGGCCUAUCAGCUUGUUGGUGGGGUGAUGGCCUACCAAGGCGGUGACGGGUAGCCGGCCUGAGAGGGUGGACGGUCACACUGGGACUGAGACGCGGCUCGGACUCCUACGGGAGGCAGCAGUGGGGAUUAUUGCACAAUGGGCGCAAGCCUGAUGCAGCGACGCCGCGUGAGGGAUGGAGGCCUGCGGGUUGUGAACCUCUUUCGCCAGUGAAGCAGGCCUGCCUUGUUUGUGGGUGGGUUGACGGUAGCUGGAGAAGAAGCGCCGGCUAACUACGUG